UGCCUANACAUGCAAGUCGAACGGAAACGAUGGGAGCUUGCUCCCAGGCGUCGAGUGGCGGACGGGUGAGUAAUACUUAGGAAUCUGCCCAUUAGUGGGGGACAACUAGAAGAAAUUCUAGCUAAUACCGCAUACGCCCUACGGGGGAAAGCGGGGGAUCUUCGGACCUCGCGCUAAUGGAUGAGCCUAAGUCGGAUUAGCUUGUUGGUGAGGUAAUAGCUCACCAAGGCGACGAUCCGUAGCUGGUCUGAGAGGACGAUCAGCCACACUGGGACUGAGACACGGCCCAGACUCNUACGGGAGGCAGCAGUGGGGAAUAUUGGACAAUGGGCGCAAGCCUGAUCCAGCAAUGCCGCGUGUGUGAAGAAGGCCUGCGGGUUGUAAAGCACUUUCAGUAGAGAAGAAAAGCCUACGGUUAAUAACCGUGAGUCUUGACGUAACCUACAGAAGAAGCACCGGCUAACUCCGUGCCAGCAGCCGCGGUAAUACGGAGGGUGCAAGCGUUAAUCGGAAUUACUGGGCGUAAAGCGCGCGUAGGCGGCUUUGUAAGUCGGAUGUGAAAGCCCCGGGCUUAACCUGGGAAUUGCAUUCGAUACUGCAGAGCUAGAGU
This 610-nucleotide ribosomal RNA is filed under the name uncultured Gammaproteobacteria bacterium. RNAcentral describes it as "bacterial SSU rRNA". It matches the Rfam family "Bacterial small subunit ribosomal RNA", at positions 45 to 647 of the family's 1533-position model. The record is from RNAcentral. Lineage: Bacteria; Pseudomonadati; Pseudomonadota; Gammaproteobacteria.